RNAcentral lists this ribosomal RNA (426 nucleotides) under Triticum aestivum (bread wheat). RNAcentral's name for it is "partial small subunit ribosomal RNA". The record is from RNAcentral. Lineage: Eukaryota; Viridiplantae; Streptophyta; Magnoliopsida; Poales; Poaceae.
AUGUGGCUCGCUGUUCAUCGCAGGUGCUUGACCGCAAAUAAUUUGGAGAGGAGGGGUUGGCCUUCUAAUGGCAACUGUUCAUUGUGCAUCUCGACACAUCAAGACUGCACACAUCUUUUUGUGCAUUGUCGGUUUACUCAGCAGGUUUGGAGGAGGUUCAGGGACUGGACGAGAGCGUAUUUUCUUGUUCCGGAUGACAGCUAUGCCAAUACUGAGGAUUGGUGGCUGAGAACACGGAAGGAUAUCCCCAAGUCUGACAGGCGCAAUUUUGACACCAUUAUCAUUCUCAUCCACUGGAGGAUCUGGAAAGAAAGAAAUGCGAGAACUUUUUAGCAUGUGGUCUGCAGCGUUGAAAGGGUGUUGGAUUUAAUUAGAGAAGACAUCAGGGCCCGGAGAGCAGCGGGUUGUAUCGGUGACCUUUUUUGA